GACGAACGCUGGCGGCGUGCUUAACACAUGCAAGUCGUACGGUAAGGCCCUUUCGGGGGUACACGAGUGGCGAACGGGUGAGUAACACGUGAGUAACCUGCCCACAACUUUGGGAUAACGCUAGGAAACUGGUGCUAAUACUGGAUAUGUGCUCCUGCUGCAUGGUGGGGGUUGGAAAGCUCCGGCGGUUGGGGAUGGACUCGCGGCCUAUCAGCUUGUUGGUGGGGUAGGGGCCUACCAAGGCGGCGACUGGUAGCCGGCCUGAGAGGGUGACCGGCCACAUUGGGACUGAGAUACGGCCCAGACUCCUACGGGAGGCAGCCGUGGGGAAUAUUGCACAAUGGGCGCAAGCCUGAUGCAGCAACGCCGCGUGCGGGAUGACGGCCUUCGGGUUGUAAACCGCUUUCAGCAGGGACGAAGCUUUUUGUGACGGUACCUGCAGAAGAAGCACCGGCUAACUACGUG
This 465-nucleotide ribosomal RNA is filed under the name uncultured bacterium. Its description in RNAcentral is "partial 16S ribosomal RNA". It matches the Rfam family "Bacterial small subunit ribosomal RNA", at positions 28 to 507 of the family's 1533-position model. The record is from RNAcentral.